This 484-nucleotide ribosomal RNA is filed under the name uncultured bacterium. RNAcentral describes it as "partial 16S ribosomal RNA". It matches the Rfam family "Bacterial small subunit ribosomal RNA", at positions 30 to 507 of the family's 1533-position model. The record is from RNAcentral.
AUUGAACGCUGGCGGCAGGCCUAACACAUGCAAGUCGAGCGGAUGAAGGGAGCUUGCUCCUGGAUUCAGCGGCGGACUGGUGAGUAAUGCCUAGGAAUCUGCCUGGUAGUGGGGGAUAACGUCCGGAAACGGGCGCUCAUACCGCAUACGUCCUGAGGGAGUAAGGGGGGGAUCUUCGGACCUCACGCUCUCAGAUGAGCCUAGGUCGGAUUAGCUAGUUGGUGGGGUAAAGGCCUACCAAGGCGACGAUCCGUAACUGGUCUGAGAGGAUGAUCAGCCACACUGGAACUGAGACACGGUCCAGACUCCUACGGGAGGCAGCAGUGGGGAAUAUUGGACAAUGGGCGAAAGCCUGAUCCAGCCAUGCCGCGUGUGUGAAGAAGGUCUUCGGAUUGUAAAGCACUUUAAGUUGGGAGGAAGGGCAGUAAGUUAAUACCUUGCUGUUUUGACGUUACCAACAGAAUAAGCACCGGCUAACUUCGUG